GUGUUGUACAAAAUGAGAUAAGGGUAACUCUCCUCUUGACAAGGAUUCAAGAGACCCUUGGACCUCACGACAGAGCUCCAGUUAAGGCAUUGCCCCUAAUUUGUGCCAUCUAGCCAGAGACUUUU
Echinops telfairi (small Madagascar hedgehog) is the source of this 125-nucleotide small nuclear RNA. The record is from Ensembl. Lineage: Eukaryota; Metazoa; Chordata; Mammalia; Afrosoricida; Tenrecidae.